CAUUGCAAAUGAGACAUCAAUGGAGGAAAUCUAUACUACUUCUGUUGUUGAUAAUGUACCAGAUGAUGGUGAAACAGAUGAAAAUCAUGAUCAUGGAACUCAAUCAGAAAAAUCUAGAUCUGAACAUGAUGAGAUUCCUACUUCUAAUCAGGAAAAGUCAGAUGAAACAAAUGGAAGUAAGCUUUCCUCCGCAGCUGAACCAUUCAAUCCAGGAGCACUCUCUGUAGUUCACUCAUUAAACUCGGUGUCUGGGACAAGCAUUUAUGAUGUAAGAGCUAGUCAAAGCAUGCUUGCAGAUGCAGCGGCACCUCCACUUGCUGCUAGAGUUCCUUGUGGACCUAGAUCACCACUGUACUAU
This 358-nucleotide unclassified non-coding RNA is filed under the name Hevea brasiliensis (rubber tree). Lineage: Eukaryota; Viridiplantae; Streptophyta; Magnoliopsida; Malpighiales; Euphorbiaceae. The record is from RNAcentral.